UGUCAAAACAUAGUAAGUUUUCUCGCCUCUAUAUUUUCUCCUUGAUCUCACUUUUACAUAUGUUUUAAGAUGAAUGCUAAUUUUAAUUUUUGUAGUGGCUAUAUGUCACCAGAGUAUGCAAUGCUUGGACAAUUUUCUGAAAAAUCAGAUGUGUUUAGCUUUGGUGUCAUGGUUCUUGAGAUUAUUACUGGAAAAAGGAGUAUGAAUGUUUAUGAAUCACACAAUGGUGUAGAAGGCCUCAUGGGUUAUGUUUGGAGACAAUGGAAGGAACAAGAACCAUUAAGCAUCUUGGAUUCAAACAUAAAAGAAAGAUAUUCACAAAUGGAAGUCCUUAGAUGCAUUCACAUCGGUUUAUUAUGUGUUCAAGAAAUUUUAAAUGAUAGGCCUACAAUGACAAUGGUUAUUUCAUAUCUUAAUAACCACUCACUUGAAUUGCCAUCUCCACAACAACCAGCAUUUUUCUUACACAGACGUAGAAUGGAUCAAGAGAUAGUUAUACAACAAGAAUCAAGUUUGAGUCACGCUACCAACGGUUCUGCAGUACUAUUCUCUAUCAAUGAGAUGUCUACUAGUAAUUUUUAUCCUCGAUAAUUAAUUGAUGAUUUAGUAUUUGAUAGCAUUGUCUAGGUUUUUUUUUUUUCAAAUGUAUUAUAAACUUUCAUUUGGCACUGUUAGUAGACUCCUUCCCAGAGUUUCACUUUUUUUGGUAGGACCUCCAUUUCGAACGGUGGCUACUAGUAUUUGGUUAUUUUGGCUAGUUUUUGGUUUGACUUCAAUAUAAUGCAACUCUAAGAAUAAGAGUGGUUGUUUACUUUUA
Molecule: long non-coding RNA, 817 nt
Organism: Glycine soja
Lineage: Eukaryota; Viridiplantae; Streptophyta; Magnoliopsida; Fabales; Fabaceae
Exons: 2
Source: RefSeq, a predicted model, not a curated record